UACGGGGGGGGCAAGCGUUGUUCGGAAUUACUGGGCGUAAAGGGCUCGUAGGUGGCCAACUAAGUCAGACGUGAAAUCCCUCGGCUUAACCGGGGAACUGCGUCUGAUACUGGAUGGCUUGAGGUUGGGAGAGGGAUGCGGAAUUCCAGGUGUAGCGGUGAAAUGCGUAGAUAUCUGGAGGAACACCGGUGGCGAAGGCGGGUCUCUGGGCAACUCCUGACGCUGAGGCGCGAAAGCGUGGGGAGCAAACGGG
Molecule: ribosomal RNA, 253 nt
Filed under: uncultured bacterium
Lineage: Bacteria
Description: partial 16S ribosomal RNA
Rfam family: Bacterial small subunit ribosomal RNA
Source: RNAcentral